This is a long non-coding RNA of Colias croceus (clouded yellow), 307 nucleotides long. RefSeq lists it as uncharacterized. The transcript is spliced from 2 exons. Lineage: Eukaryota; Metazoa; Arthropoda; Insecta; Lepidoptera; Pieridae. The record is from RefSeq and is a predicted model, not a curated record.
UUAACCCUAGAAAGAUAAUCAUAUUGAGUAGUACGGGAAAGAUAGUCAUGCGUCAAAUUUACGCAUGUUUUUUAGUUAGCUCAAAGUCGAGAAGGCCUCCUCAGUACUUUCUUAUGAUGUACCAGAUACUUCAUUUGGCAACAAAUUGGAGAUAUUAUCACGCAAAUAUCUUAUCUAAGCUGGUGAUUCUAAAAACCCACGCAUAAACAAAGAAGACAGUUCCAUGCUUCUAUAUUUCAUGUUUUUUGGACUCAGAUAUUUUUGUGCUUUGUAGUUAACAUUGUGGCUAUAAAUUUAAUAUGCAAUA